UUACCAAUAAAAGCUAUCUCACUUUAGUUGGACAAUCAAUACGCCAAUUGGAUAUAUUAUCCUUCACAAUAGUUCUAUAUUUUAAGAUUUAAAAAUUUAAUCUCAAACAUAAUUCAUUUCAUUAAAAAUUAUCUAUGCAUUAUUACUACGAUGAAAUCAAUAAUCAACUUUUUUUAUGGAUGUUAUAUUCUCCGAGAUU
This 199-nucleotide long non-coding RNA is filed under the name Elaeis guineensis (African oil palm). RNAcentral's name for it is "long non-coding RNA (EGUI_LNC043361)". Lineage: Eukaryota; Viridiplantae; Streptophyta; Magnoliopsida; Arecales; Arecaceae. The record is from RNAcentral.